AAUAGAUACCCUGGUAGUCCACGCCGUAAACGAUGAGUGCUAAGUGUUAGAGGGUUUCCGCCCGUUUAGUGCUGCAGCAAACGCAUUAAGCACUCCGCCUGGGGAGUACGGCCGCAAGGCUGAAACUCAAAGGAAUUGACGGGGGCCCGCACAAGCGGUGGAGCAUGUGGUUUAAUUCGAAGCAACGCGAAGAACCUUACCAGGUCUUGACAUCCCGCUGACCGGCCUAGAGAUAGGCCUUCCCCUUCGGGGGCAGCGGUGACAGGUGGUGCAUGGUUGUCGUCAGCUCGUGUCGUGAGAUGUUGGGUUAAGUCCCGCAACGAGCGCAACCCUUGAUCUUAGUUGCCAGCAUUUAGUUGGGCACUCUAAGGUGACUGCCGGUGACAAACCGGAGGAAGGUGGGGAUGACGUCAAAUCAUCAUGCCCCUUAUGACCUGGGCUACACACGUGCUACAAUGGAUGGUACAAAGGGCUGCAAGACCGCGAGGUUUAGCCAAUCCCAUAAAACCAUUCUCAGUUCGGAUUGCAGG
RNAcentral lists this ribosomal RNA (530 nucleotides) under uncultured bacterium. RNAcentral describes it as "bacterial SSU rRNA". It matches the Rfam family "Bacterial small subunit ribosomal RNA", at positions 777 to 1304 of the family's 1533-position model. The record is from RNAcentral.